CAUGCAGUCGAACGAGAAAGUCACUUCGGUGGCGAGUAGAGUGGCGCACGGGUGAGUAACGCGUAGUUGACCUACCUCUUAGCGGGGGAUAACCAGGAGAAAUUCUGGCUAAUACCGCAUACGUAGUACGACAUUGGAAAAGUACUAGAAAGGAUGCCUCUCCUUGGAAGCAUUUACUAAGAGAUGGGACUGCGUUGCAUUAGCUUGUUGGUGGGGUAAUGGCCUACCAAGGCAACGAUGCAUAGCUGGUCUGAGAGGAUGAUCAGCCACACUGGAACUGAGACACGGUCCAGACUCCUACGGGAGGCAGCAGUGGGGAAUAUUGCGCAAUGGGGGAAACCCUGACGCAGCAAUGCCGCGUGAGUGAGGAAGGCCUUCGGGUUGUAAAGCUCUGUCAGAAGGGAAGAACGGCACAUUAUCUAAUAGGUAGUGUGUGUGACGGUACCUUCAAAGGAAGCACCGGCUAACUUCGUGCCAGCAGCCGCGGUAAUACGAAGGGUGCAAGCGUUGUUCGGAUUUACUGGGCGUAAAGCGCGCGCAGGCGGAUUGAUAAGUCAGAUGUGAAAUCUCGGGGCUCAACCCCGAAACUGCGUCUGAAACUGUUGAUCUAGAGUUAUGUAGGGGAGAAGGGAAUUUCGCAUGUAGGGGUAAAAUCCGUAGAGAUGCGAANGAACACCAGAGCCGAANGGGCUUCUCUGGGCAUACACUGACGCUGANGCGCGAAAGCGUGGGUAGCAAACAGNAUUAGAUACCCUGGUAGUCCACGCCGUAAACNAUGANUACUAGAUUUUGGGGGAUUUGACCCCUUCAGAGUCNCAGCUAACGCANUNAGUACUCCG
RNAcentral lists this ribosomal RNA (839 nucleotides) under uncultured bacterium. RNAcentral's name for it is "bacterial SSU rRNA". It matches the Rfam family "Bacterial small subunit ribosomal RNA", at positions 54 to 871 of the family's 1533-position model. The record is from RNAcentral.